RNAcentral lists this ribosomal RNA (434 nucleotides) under uncultured bacterium. Its description in RNAcentral is "partial 16S ribosomal RNA". It matches the Rfam family "Bacterial small subunit ribosomal RNA", at positions 29 to 507 of the family's 1533-position model. The record is from RNAcentral.
AGCGAACGCUGGCGGCAGGCCUAACACAUGCCAGUCGAACGAACCUUUCGGGGUUAGUGGCGCACGGGUGAGUAACACGUGGGAACGUGCCUUUAGGUUCGGAAUAACUCAGGGAAACUUGUGCUAAUACCGAAUGUGCCCUUCGGGGGAAAGAUUAAUCGCCUUUAGAGCGGCCCGCGUCUGAUUAGCUAGUUGGUUGAGGUAAUGGCUCACCAAGGCGACGAUCAGUAGCUGGUCUGAGAGGAUGAUCAGCCACAUUGGGACUGAGACACGGCCCAAACUCCUACGGGAGGCAGCAGUGGGGAAUCUUGCGCAAUGGGCGAAAGCCUGACGCAGCCAUGCCGCGUGAAUGAUGAAGGUCUUAGGAUUGUAAAAUUCUUUCACCGGGGACGAUAAUGACGGUACCCGGAGAAGAAGCCCCGGCUAACUUCGUG